UGGGGAAUAUUGGACAAUGGGCGGAAGCCUGAUCCAGCAACGCCGCGUGAGGGAUGACGGCCUUCGGGUUGUAAACCUCUUUCGCCUGUGACGAAGCGCAAGUGACGGUAACAGGUAAAGAAGCACCGGCCAACUACGUGCCAGCAGCCGCGGUAAUACGUAGGGUGCGAGCGUUGUCCGGAAUUAUUGGGCGUAAAGGGCUCGUAGGCGGUUUGUCGCGUCGGGAGUGAAAACCAGGUGCUUAACACCUGGCUUGCUUUCGAUACGGGCAGACUAGAGGUAUUCAGGGGAGAACGGAAUUCCUGGUGUAGCGGUGAAAUGCGCAGAUAUCAGGAGGAACACCGGUGGCGAAGGCGGUUCUCUGGGAAUGACCUGACGCUGAGGAGCGAAAGUGUGGGGA
This 400-nucleotide ribosomal RNA is filed under the name uncultured bacterium. Its description in RNAcentral is "bacterial SSU rRNA". It matches the Rfam family "Bacterial small subunit ribosomal RNA", at positions 355 to 767 of the family's 1533-position model. The record is from RNAcentral.